Molecule: non-coding RNA, 1400 nt
Organism: Pelobates cultripes (western spadefoot toad)
Lineage: Eukaryota; Metazoa; Chordata; Amphibia; Anura; Pelobatidae
Source: the annotation of a GenBank genome assembly
GGGGAGUCCGACGCUGGAGAAAGGUAAAUGCUGAAGACACACACACACACUCUCACGAACAGACGCAUACACACUAGCUAACAGACACACACAUUUACUGACAGAGACACACUCAGCGACAGACAUACAUACACACUCACUUACAAAACAUACACUUUCACUGACAAACACACACACUCAGUAACACACACAGUAACACACUCACUAGCAGACACACACCCAAUAACAGACACACUCACUGACACACACACAGACACACUCACUAACACACACACACACAUACACUAACAUACACACGCUAACACACACAUACACUAACACACACACUAACACACACACUAACACACAAACACACACACACUAACACACACAUACACUAACACACACACACACACUAACACACACACACACUAACACACAAACACACACACACACUAACACAUACACUAACACACACACACACUAACACACACACACUAACACACACAUACACUAACACACACACACAUACACUAACACACACACACACAUACACUAACACACACAUACAUACACUAACACACAAACACAUACUUUUUUUAAAUUUAAUCCCCCCAGCCUCCUUACCUUUUGGAGUGCUGGGGGGAUUCCCUGGGAUCCAGUGGUGCUGCUGGGCUCCUGGUCACUGGGUGGGCGGGCUGUCUGGGCGGCCGGUGCGCGAGGGAGCACUUUACACUGUGUGCUUCCUCUUCAGCUCCCUCGCGCGCCGGGUAGGGAUGCCGGCGCCGGAAGAUGACGUCAUCUUCCGGCAUCAGUGCGGUGUGCGAGGGAGUUGAAGAGGAAGCACACAGUGUAAAGUGGCUGGCCCUGUGGAGAAGAGGCUGGCCCUGUGGCUACAUACCGGGUCGCAGGGGCGGCCGGGCCCCCUGGUGGGCCGGGCCUGGUCGCAGCCACGACCCCUGCGACCCUGGUAUGUACGCCACUGGUGCCAUCCCUGGUGGUCCAGUGGAGAGUGAACUCUCGCCUGUGGGGCUAGAGUUCACUCUCGCGAGAGGAACCCGGCAGAGCUGCUGGCUAGAGCUCCCAGGUCCUCUCCUGCAUCCCUCCAUGCUGCUGUGGGCCGGUGAGGUAGAUCUUUGAUCUGCCCACCGGCCCAUGGAGGCUUAGAGCAGAGCCGGCUCUCGGAUAGCGCCGGCUCUGUAUGAGCCGACAGGUGAGAUCCUGAGAUCUCACCUGCCGGUCUCAAUCCAUAGGCGUGCCGCGGGGAUUAGGGUGUGCCCAGGCACACCCCGUGCGCACGCCUAUGGUCAGAUAUCAGGUAUUGAGAUAGAAUAGCCUAUAUAAGUCACUUGAGUGGCAGAGUUUCAUUCUAUGCAUGUUCCAUGGAGGGAGACUGACAGCAGAGGCCAAAUGGUAUGAAC